GGCCCCCACAGCCCCGGUAAGUCUGAAUCAGGUUCCAGACUCUCCGCUCCCUGGAAGAUGCUGGACUGUGGCCUGUGGACCUGCUCCCUCCCCAGGGACACAGCCUGCUUCUGACAUGUCUCCCCAUUAGGGUCUUUCUCAGGAAUGUCCCUUGGGGAGCUCCAGGCCAGGACCACUGGGCUUGAAGCCAGAGGUGGUUGAUGCUGGACUGCCUUUCCAGGGAGGCCGCACCUGCCCCAAAGCCUCAUUUUAUAGCCCCUAGAGGUGAGUAUCCUUACUUAGCAGGUAUCAGCCUCAGAUGAGGGACUCUGUUGCUCUGAUGUUUCUUCACUGGAUGCCCAGUGGGCCCCUCAGCAGCUGUGGGGCUCCUUGGGAAUUGUUAAGAGCCCUGGAUUUUCUUGGUAGGAAGCAGCUGCCCCUUGGCCAGUAGUUGUUGGAUGGCCACUGGGUAAUGGACUCAGGAAAUUCUUGUUCGUGUAGGGGUUGGAGUCUUGUCACUCAACAAGCAUUGAUUAAAUGCCCACUUUGUGCCAGCCAUCAUACUGAGUGCAGGGCCGGUCUCAAUGUACCCCCAGAACUUGGCCCCUAGUCAGCAUUGAAUGCACACACCGAUUCUCCUGGGAAAAGGCCCCGAUUUGUAGAAGUGAACAGCUCGUUCUGAUGCAGGCCACCAGAGGAGGAAGCUUCAGAGGCUUCAUGCUGCAGGAAGCAUAUAUGGAGCAUUACUGGACUCUGGGCAUCUACACCCCACUGGAAAGGUCCAGUGUUAAUUCAGUGGAGAGAGCCCUUAAUCGAUGCUGAUUAUAAUUGCUAAAAGCUCCCUUUCUUAGUCUACAUGAAAGCUAUUAUUUUGGAUUGAUGGAAAUGAACCUCUGGGAAGCUUUUAUUUUGCCCUUGACUUUAGUCAGAAUAUUGAGCAAUUAGAAUAGGAUAUUGGCAAUUAGGUAGUAUAUUCAAUAGACUACUGGAAUCGGGAGAAUGAAUUCAAAUCUUGCCUCAGACUUUCAGUAGAUAGGGCAGUGGAUAGAGAGCACUGGUGCCUGGAAUCAGGAAGCCUCAUCUUCUUGAGUUCAAAUCCCACCUCAGACAUUUACUAGCUGUGUGACCCUGAGCAAGUCACUUGUUUGCCUCAGUUUCUUGUCAGUAAAUAAGAUAGAAAAAGAAACCCCAAAAUGAACUCAGUAAGAGUAGAACAUGACUGAAAAAACUCAACUUAGACACUACUAUCUGUGGCAAGUCAUUUUAUUCCUGCCUUAAUUUUUCCUUAAUUGUAUUUAGCUAUAACUCUUAUUUAAUAUUUUUCCCAGUUACAUUCAAAACAAUUAAAAAAAUUUUUUUAAACUUUUGAGUUCCAGAUUCUCUUACUUAUCUCCCAAACCCCCUUAAGAAACUACAUAUAAAAUUACACAAAACAUUUCCAUAAAAGUCAUGUUGUCAAAGAAAACUUAGAUCUCCCACCCUGUUUUUUUUUAAUUUUUAAAAAACUUUCCAAGAAAAAUAGCUUUUUAAAAAAAGAGAAUAUGAUUCAAUAUAUAUUUAGACACAAUUUCUUCUCUGGGUAUGGCUGGGAUUUUUCAUCAUAAGUCCUUCAGAGUAGUCAUGGGUCAUUGUAUUGCUGAGAAUAGCAAAGCCAUUCACAGUUGCUCAUCCCAGGACAUUGCUAUUACUUUGUAUACAGUAUAUUUUACUUUGCUUGAGUUUAUGGAGGACUUUAUAGGUGAUUUUUUUGGAGAGCAUCCUGCUCAUCACUUCCCACAGAACAAUAUUUCAUGGCAAUCGCACACCACAGUUCACUCAACUAUUCCCCAAUUGAUGGGCAUCAAUCUCUAAUUCUUCACUCUGAAGACUUUCUACUUUUGUGUAUAUCUUGGUACUUUUCCUUUUAAUAAAAGAAAAAGUUCCUUUUGUUAAAUCUCGUGAUAUUCAUGCCUAAUAAUGGUAUUGUUAGGUCAAAGGAUAUGCAUGAAUUUAUAGCCUUUUGAACAUAGAUUAUUGUAGAGGGUCACAGUCAGUGGGGGAACUCUGGGUAAAGCAUAAAACCCUCCAGCCCAGAGGGAACCUGCUGACAAUGUCUGGUUUGGCUCCUCAUCUCCCCUAAGGGCUCUCAGCCGUCCUGAGAAGUGUGUGUGUGUGUGUUGGGGGCUGACAACCUGUGUUGUGAUUGAAGCAGAGUGAUACCAGGUGGCAAACUACAUACAAUAGCAAGUUGUUUAUGUGGUCCCACAUGCACGGUAUAUAAGAGUAUGAGGGUAUAAAGAGGGGAAAGUCCUUGAAAUAAAUGGCUGAGAGGGCUGGAAAACACCAGUACCGUGCUGAUUCAGAAGUCCUGCUUUGCUCAGGCUGUUGCUGAACUUAAGCUGGAGCCCAGACUAUAUUAGUGAGUCCUGCACGCUGGGCUCCCAUCCUGUCUCCACAGACCUCUUCUGCUGAUCUUCUAAGUUGUCUCCAGUCAGAAACUGUUCUGGGGCGUUCUGAUGCUCUCAUUUUUUUUUGAGUCAUUAAAGAUUCCUUUAAUGGGAUUGGAUCCCUUUGAGGGAGAGGUGGUGGACCUCCUGCCUUUUACUUCAUCUUGGCUCCAUCUCCAGAAGCAAACCUCUGUGAUCAAGUGGAACAGUUCUGGUUCUGGGCUCUGGCCAGUCUUUUUCUGACCUGGUAGUGAAUAAUCCUUGCCUGGCCUCUGCAAAGCUGACUUUUUAAAUUAGCCUCCAGUGCAGAGCUGACCUUGAACCUUAGGCAUUCUUUCUGUAUCUUUUAAGCACUUAACUGUGCAUAAUGCAUCAUCCUUAAGCACCUGCUGUGUGCAAUGCACCAUCUGUGGCAGGGGUAAGGGUGAGAAAUAAAGAUGAACAAGGCAUCCCUGCCCUCAUGGGGAUUCUAGUCUACGGUGAAUGGCACAGAAACAUUGAGAAACAAAAGACAAGCUAGAGAAAGGCAGUGGGGAGUAGUACAAAUGACACCCUGUUGUGCCACAGUUCUCUUUUAAUUGUCCUGACUCAGUUUCCCUAAAUUGUUCUGAUUCAGUUUCCCCAAAUUGUUCUGCUUCAGUCCCCACACUGGCUAUGUGAUGUCCCCUUUUGUCAUCCAUAAGUGGGAUGCACCUCUCUGCUACUGACUCCUCCACUCUUGGGGCUACUCUGGGUAGAAUACCACAGAAACUGUAAAGUGUCAUAAUCAGGAGAAUUCUUGGGCAUGGUGAGAAAUCCUAGUUUAGAGACUGCAGCCUGGCUUCAAGUCCCAGCUUUGACAGCUCUCUGGAGGAUGGGCCUGGCAUGUGACUUCAAAGCUGCUGAGGAGGUAUGGGAAAAGGAAGUGGAGGAACAGCUCACCUCCAGCCACCAAGCACAAUCAACCCGUCUGGUGAGAGAACAAAGAAUAUGGAAGCCAUAGGGAGCUCAGCAGGAUGGGGCUCUUUCCAGGACAUUUUUGUCAGACCCCAGAGAAUUUCUAAUAGUAAUAAUGAGAGCUGCACAAGAGAGUCAUGAAGCACCAUUGGAUCAAAGGACAGAGAAAUCACAUGUGGUAGAGGGCUGUCCCCUGGUCCCACUGCUCUGAGCCAAUUUUUCUCUGAUUUCUUGUAUUAAAAGGGGAAGAGAGGACACUCAAAGGGGCCAAGAUGGGUCCUUUUCUCUGCUUUAGGAAAAGCUGAACAUAGGGUCUUUAGAUGAGUAAUUGUGCCUUUCCCUCAUCCCUUACUUAGGUCCUCAGUUUUUAGAGAGGGAUUGUCAUCCUCACCCCACAGACUGAACCAGGGAAAUUGAGACCCUUCCUGUCCUGCCCUGAGGCAGCUCCCCACCUUGUCUAAACUGAGCCAACCUCCUCCAGCAAAGCAGAGGGUCCCAUUCAUCAAGGAACAGCAGCCUGCAGGGACUCUGUCAUGACAUUCCCCUGGGGGGAAGGAGGAAAUCCUGCCAGAGUCUGGCAUUUAGCUGGCAUUCAGUGCUCCGCUGGCUCCCUCCACCAAUGUAUGCAGUCCUUCCCCAAGGAUUUUGCAUGGCUCAUUUCCAGAAAGAUGGCCCUAGGAGGGAUUUUCAGGGAUAGAAUCAUGAAGCUUCUUCCCCUGAAUGGUAACAAUCCCCAGCUCUACCAGGACAUCAUUGAGCAUGCCAGGUUUUGCACAGCCCUCCCAGCAUGGAAUUUAUCAUUAGAUUCAGGGAGCAGCCUAAAGGGCUCUGCUCUCGACUAGGCAGAGAGUGCCCAGAGUACAAGGAUUCUUCUGUUCCUUUGUGUCUCCCCCAGCUAAGGAAAAGGUUACAACAGUAAUGUGUCUGUAUACACUAAGUACUUCAUAGGGAGUGCAGGGUUUACCAAGUGUGUGUUGAUUAAAUGGGAAAAUCUCUGUUUCUUUGCUUUCUUUCCUCCUGACACCAGCUUGAACCUGCCAUUCCCCCAAAGGGGCAUGUUGUCUCCUAACAUUCCCAUUGAGACGUACAAGAAAAAGCCGGCUCAGUCUGCCUGGAGUAAGGGAAUGUAACCAGGACAUAGGGUUUGGUCAGUAUUUAUCCACUCGCUGUGCCACUAAGGGGCACCAUUAGUGUACAGUGCUGGGUCUGGAAUCAGGAAAACCUGAGUUCAAAUCUGUGCUCAGAAACUUCCUAGUUAUGUGAUUCUGGAAAAGUCACUUCAUUCUGCUUGCCUCAGUUUCCUUAUCUGUCAGAAAUGGCAAUCCAUUCCAGUCCCUUUGCCCAGAAAACCCAAAUGGAGUCAGGGAGAGUCAGACAUGACUGAACACCAAAUGGCCCGAUUAAUGUUCUAGAGUGCCUGCUGGUAAGUGAGAACGCUACAAGCUCCCAUUUUCCAUCCACUCUGUGGAUGCCUCAAUUCUCCCUCACCCCAGCCGCCCUUUCCUCAUCUGUAGAAGCAGCAUAAGCCCUGACAGCAGCCCAGCUCCAGGGAGACACAAAUGUUUCAGGCAAGGCCAGACCAGGAACCUGAGCAGCCCCUGAAAGGGAUGUUUGAUUAGUCUCCUCCCUGUGAAGCCCUGACUGUCACCAUUUUUAUCAGAAGAAGAAAGCCUUCAUGGACAUCUGUAGGAGGAAACAAGUCAGAAAGGUCUGCUUCCUUUGUCUGAAAAAUGAUCCGAGGGUCUUAAGAGACUCCAGCUCCCCUGACCUGACAGUAUGAUACAGCAGCCAAGAAAAUCAAUGCUACCUUGGGUAAUAGGACAACCAGAUUCCACCUCUGGAAAAGAAUGGGGGAGAUAAAGGACAGAAUAAUUGUGCCCCAGAGUUAGAACUAGGAAAGAGGGGCAAAUUUAGGGUGGACAUCAGCAGAGAUCCCACCAGUAAGAGCUGCCCUGACUCUGGAGACUGCUUGGGGCAAGGGAGAGAGAAGAGUCUGUCUUAUGGCAGGGCUGUCCCCACCUUGUCCAGGUUGGAGCUUGUGUCCAGCAGCAUAGAACCUAUCCAGAGCCAGGGGAUCAUUUCCUUCCCCUGAUCCAUCCCCGAAGGCUCUCUACAAAUCCAACAGAUGCCUGGUCAGUCUGUCAAUAGCCCCCAUCUAGGAGAUGAAAGCAGAGCUCAAGGAUGGGAUGUCCUUCAUGUAGAGUUCAGAAUCCAACUGGAAGGUCAAGGCCCCGUUCCCUAACCACUGCUCAAGCCUCUUUACGUGGCCCCAUUAAGGACAAUGAUAUUGGGGACUGAGGGAGAACUUUAUACUCUGGUUUUUUGGAAAGGAUUGACUUGGGGGAAGACUCCUGGUCCACCUAUGGCCUUGGUAUUGUAAUUCAGAAGACAUACCUAUUGUAUACCUGCUGUAUACCUCAUCUUUUCUCAGAUUCCUGUGCAACUGGGGUUGGCCUAAAGGCUUUGGGAUAGCAAAGGAAUGAAUGAGUGUUUUUCCUUCCUCCCUUCUCCAUCUUCAGUGACCUUGGUGGGGGUCCUCCCUCCACUGAUGCAGAUUGCGACCCUCUGCCUCACUAAAUGAUCUUUGAAGGUCAUUGUGGCUGCAGGAUCCAUCCUUCAUUUAGGAAGGAUGGUCCUCUGAGAGCAGAUUCUCUUGUCCAUCUCUGGACCUGGGCUCAGAGCCCUCCCAGCCUGCUUGAACCUGCCAUUCCCCCAAAGGGGCAUGUUGACUCCUAAAAUUCCCAUUGUAGAUUUAACAUCAUGUGUUUGAGACGUACAAGAAAAAGCCGGCUCAGUCUGCCUGGAGUAAGGGAAUGUAACCAGGACAUAGGGUUUGGUCAGUAUUUAUCCGCUCACUGUGCCACUAAGGGGCACCAUUAGUGCACAGUGCUGGGUCUGGAAUCAGGAAAACCUGAGUUCAAAUCUGUGCUCAGAAACUUCCUAGUUAUGUGACUUUGAAAAAAUCACUUCAUUCUACUUAUGGGAGGGCUCAUCAGAGCUUGUUCUUUGGAAGGUCGAGGAGGAGGAAGAGGAAGAAAAAGAGGAGGAGGAGGAGGAGGAGGAAGAAAUGUCAAUAAAAUAACUACAGUAGGGGGUGGAGGGCUGUGCAUCAGCAUAAGUAGUCAUUUAAGAUAAUGAAGCAGGGUAGAAGGGCCAGCUAGUGAGGUUCAUUAACACAGGAGAACCUAGUGAGGUGAGAGCAGGCUGCAAUCUGCAUUUGUGGGUGCAAGGGAUGAACCAUGGGGCCUGGAAGCUUGGGACACGGACAUUUGAGUCUCACUGGAUCUCUUUUCCAGUUUGCCAUCCACAUGAAUUAAUCAGGUUUAUUGUCAUUCAUCAUAUACUUUUGGCUGCUGAAGAGCACUGAGCCUAGACUCAGGGAGACCCGAGUCCAAACCUAGUCUCAGACCCUAGCCAAAUAAUUUCACCCCUGUCUGCCUCAGUCUUCUCAUGUAAAAAAUGGGUAUCAUCUCUCUCAGGGUUUUUGUGAGGAUCAGAUGAAAUAAAAAUUAGUGUCAGGCAUCUAAGAGGUGCUAUAUAAAUCCGCAAGUGUAUAGCUUUGCCAGUAUCUAUGUGUGUAUUUCCAACUCUCUCCUGAGCGCCUUUACUCCCUUCAGCUGUCAGCUGGACACUUCCCUCUGCACACAGCAAGGGCAUAAGCAGUGCUUGGUUAAUUGACUGACUGCUUAGGCUGCUCCAGGCUGACCUGCCACUCCCUCCCAUCUCUCUCCUUGCCACCCCCUCCGCUGCUCUUGCUGCCUGUCCUCCAUCGGACUUGGGGUAUCUGGGACGUAUUUGGCUCUUUCUUUGGCUUAGAUCUGAUAAGCGUUUGCUCUGCACCUACUGCAUACAGGCACAGGGUGGGGGUGGGAAAAGAGAAUGGCCGCCUCGGAAUCCCCUCUCUGCCCAAACAGGCUCUUCCCCUACCCAGCUCUUAUCAAUUCCUGCCCCUUCUCUGAGCCCCCCAAAGCUGGACGUCCAUCGCAUCCUCGGUGUCUCCGGGAUGGGCUCCUACCCUCAGCCCCCUGCCCAGCCCUUGCAGGACCCCUCCCGGCGCCGCGGCCCUCCCCCACCCCGGGCUUCUCCGGGAACUCUGCUUAGUGGCGGUUCCGAGCCUCCCUCUCCCCGAAUCUCCCUCCCCCCAGCCCCCAGCCCCGUUCCUAGCCGUUGUAACGGCUGAACUUGGUGUCUGGGACUGGUACAUGCGCGAGUCCGGCCGGAGGAAGGAGCGGGCAGGGUCGGCGGCCGGUCUUCAGUCCCUGAACCAGUCUUGCUGCCUCUUCUCAACUGGUUUUUUGCCGCAAGUGAAAAUAUUUCUAGUAACCUGUCCAGAGUUCCUUUCUCGCACAUCUCUGACGGCUGUCCCCGAACUCGGCGCCGGGCGGGAGGACGAAGGAAGCCCCCAGGAGCCCUUCUCCAAAAAUGGAUUGUGCCCAGCUUUCUGUCCACUGGGUCGGUGGUAGAUGUUGUGGACAGCUACUCUAGCUGUAGAGAUUUCAGAUGGAAGAUGAUGACUGUCUCCAUCUGAUACACUAUGAUAAAUAUGGCAGCUCUAUAUAGCUAUAUAGCUCAAGCUGACUCGGUCUGUGACAGAGGAGACUCAACGAGUGGACUGCCAAACAUGGGUUGAUGACCCUCAGUCUCUAGUACAGAAUAAGUUGGUAUCUGAAUUAAAGAUGGCCAGUUCCAGGAUCACAGCCUAUGUCUCUUCAUGGACCUAUUAUUGACUCCAAAGUUCCUGCAGCCUUAUUGUUGAAUUGCACAGCUUCAGUUAAAGGAAGAAAUAAGAGGAGUACCCCCCAUUCCAUAGGCAUAAGCCAUUCUGUUGGAAUAAUAGACCCAUUUCUGUCCACAGAAGAGUCAGUGGGGGCAGUCCAAAAGCUGCUAGAGUUUUUCUGAUCCUCCACGACCCGGAUGUACUGGCUUUUGACAAUGGAUGCCCUUUUUCAUUAACAUUUCAGCUGUGGUACCAGAAAGGGAAGAUUUGGUGCUCACUUGUCACAUCCUUGGCAAGUCCAGGGAGCGGGACCAAUUGUUAGAGAGAAAAGCUGGAUUCUGGCUAUCGUGGACAGCAGGACCCCGGGCGACCCCUGCAGCUGUCAUUCAGUUCUCUGACCUUUUUGAGGUUCCUGGAGCACUGCCUCCAGAAUGCCUGGUGGCAGCCUUGGGAGCUCCCAGGAAGGGAGGUGAGACCGGCAUGGGAGCAAAGGCUGAGGGGGCUCCUCACCGCGGCGGUGGCCUCUUUCCGCUCCUCUCCUUCCUUUUGAAUAUUCUGGUUUCAUUUUCCACCAAGGGUUGGUACAUUCUAGUGUUGUGGAUCCGGAUGAUGUCAUAGUACUGUUCUCUUGUGUCAUCAGCAUCGAAGCUCGUGCCUUGCAGUCUGCCCUCGAUGUUAUUGUACCUCGUUGUCCAGGAGAUGUUCUCACAGUUCUUGGCUCUGCUUCACUUGAUGCCGGACAAGAGCAAGAUCUUGGUCACCUGGACCAGAAAUAUUGACCUGCUCAGGGAGGACACAGAGGCCAGCAGCCAAUCCGCGGACCUGUGGUAUCCGAACGUUAGCCCCACGCGGGGAGAUGAAAAAGGAGCAAAGGUCGGAGCCGCAGAUGACCGGGAGCCCGGCCGCGUGGGUGCACCUCCCGGGGAGGCCGAAGCGAGGCUUGGCUUCACAGAGCAUGACUUUCUUAGGCCUGUCUUCUAGGAUUUCACCUGAAAAACGAUGGACUUCUCGGUGGUUAUCUGGGACAAGCUGUCCUAAGUUGGAGGGUGCUGAACUCCCGGCCGGCUGCAGUUGGGACGGCAGCGAUCUGUUCUGGGAGCCCGGAGCUUCGCCUCGGUUGUUUGUGACGGCCUUGGCCGCCGCCUCCGGAAGCAUCACGUUGUUCCUCGGGGCCUGCUUUUUUGUGGGGACCCCGCGGCCCCGACUCUGCGGUCGGCCCGUCUCAGGAUAGGACCCCAUCUCCAGGCGUUCGUUGCAGUUUGGGAAGAAGCCCUCCUGAAGGGGGUGAAGGCGCCAGGGAGACCUUUCUCUGGGAAUAGGUGAAGAGAGCACGAAUGGCCAUCUCCAGAGGCUCAUAGAACAGAGAGCUCUUCAUGGCCUCGUGGCGUCCUGCAACUCAGCAAGGAGCUUCCCCUCCUGGUCCCAGCUGAAGAGCAUGAUAUUACAGAGGAGCGAGCUCAGGCGCUCCAGCAGAGCGCGGCCGCAGCCGCCUGGAGGGCCCCGAAGAGAGCCAGCCAGACGUGAUUGGUGCCGAGCAGAUUCGAGGCUGGGGGAGGCAGGAGUCCUUCCUGCUGAGGGGCUGCGCCUUGGGCUUCGGCUCAAACGUCUGCCUCGGCGACUCCUCUGAGAGCCAGGUCUGGCCCAGGAAGAGCCAGAUGUGCGGGUUGGAGAGUUUUCGACCUUGACCCUGCUCAGGCACCAGCUGGGCCGGCCGCCUUGGGUGCUGUCCCACAGCUGGAUGGCCCGGAUGGCCCCCCACGCCAUUUAUAAUGGUCAGGAGCAAGGUGUCGGUGCUGCCCCCGGAGAAGGGGGUGAAGUCGGCGUGACUCGGGAAGUGCUCCUCGCUAGCCUUGCGGGUUCUGUUCCCAGAAGCUGGAGAAAGACGUCGGCCCGGGUGCCGAGCCCAGGUAGCUAGCUCCCUGUGUAGAUGACCAGGUAGCAAAUGUAUUCUGUUUUGUUUUUUUAAGCAAGUUGUAAUCAAUAGAGAUAGGCCGUUUCAUAAAUAGUCUUUUUCUAUUCUAAUACAUACAUGGAAAUAACCAUUUUAUUUGGUGUUUCUUAUGUUCAGAGUAAACAUGAGUUUUAAGAAAUUUGCUGACAAUAUGAUAGUUUACUUUGAAAAUCUUACAGAAUCAGCAAAAAUGGUGAUUGCAACAACCGCUUUAGCAAAGUUGCAGGCUACAAAAUCCUCAGAAAUCAACAUUUCUAUAUAGCGAAAUAUAAGCGCUAAUAGUAAGUAGCGAAAUUCCAUUCCAAAUGCCUAUAAAAUGCAUAAAAUAGCUGGAGACCCAGUCUCCAAAAGCAAGCCAAAGAUUUCUAUGGAUUCAAUUACAAAGAAAUAAAGAAUUUGAAUAAUUGGAGAAAUAUUCAGUGUUCACGACUAGGCCAAAAAAUAAAUAAAUAAAAUAAAAAAUGAAAAUACCAAAAUUUAUACCUUUAGCAUUAUUAAAUGACCAAGGGGAUAAUUUAUAGAACUUGAUAAAAUUCAUUUAGAAAAACAAAAGAUUGAGAUUUUCAAAGGAAGUGGUGAAAAGCAAGGAUAAAAAAGGAAUAACAUUUCCAUUUAUUCAAAAUAAAUCAGUCACCAUCAAAAUCACCUGGUAUUCACUACACACCUGUCAGAUUGUCUAGAAUGACAGGGAAAGAUAACACAGAAUGUUGGAGGGGAUGUGGGAAAACGGGGACACUGAUACAUUGUUGGUGGAACUGUGAACACAUUCAGCCAUUCUGGAGAGCAAUUUGGAAUUAUGCUCAAAAAGUUAUCAAACUGUGCAUACCCUUUGAUCCAGCAGUGUUUCUACUGGGCUUAUACAUAACCCAAAGAGAUACUAAAGAAGGGAAAGGGAUUAUUGUUCUGUAAGAAAUGACCAGCAGGAUGAAUACAGAGAGGCUUGGAGAGACUUACAUGAACUGAUGCUGAGUGAAAUGAGCAGAACCAGGAGAUCAUUAUAUACCUCAGCGACGAUACUGUAUGAGGAUGUAUUCUGAUGGAAGUGGAUUUCUUUGACAAAGAGAUCUAGCUCAGUUUCAGUUGAUCAAGGAUGGACAGAAGCAGCUACACCCAAAGAAAGAACACUAGGAAAUGAAUGUAAACUGCUUGCAUUUUUGUUCUUCUUCCCGGGUUAUUUAUAACUUCUAAAUCCAAUUCUCCCUGAGCAACAAGAGAACUGUUCAGUUCUGCACACAUAUAUUGUAUCUAAGAUCUACUGUAACCUAUUUAACAUGUAUAGGACUGCUUGCCAUCUGGGGAAGGGGGUGGAGGGAGGGAGGGGAAAAAUCAGAACAGAAGUGAGUGCAAGGGAUGAUAAUGUAAAAAAUUACCCUGGCAUGGGUUCUGUCAAUAAAAAGUUAUUUAAAAAAAACAACACCUGGUAUUGGUUAAAAGAAUAGAGAUCAAUGGAGCAGACUAGACAAAAGGAACCAAGAAACAAUAGAUCUCAAUAACCCAGUGUUUGAUAAAGUUGAACACACAAAUUACCAAGGGAAAACCUUAUUUAAUAAAAACUUAAGGGAAAACAGCCUAACUGGAUGUACAACUUUAAUGUUAAAGAUAUUACCAUAAAAAUAUUUG
Long non-coding RNA from Sarcophilus harrisii (Tasmanian devil), 11629 nucleotides. The record is from Ensembl. Lineage: Eukaryota; Metazoa; Chordata; Mammalia; Dasyuromorphia; Dasyuridae.